ACAUCCAGAGAAUUUAGCAGAGAUGCUUUAGUGCCUUCGGGAACUCUGAGACAGGUGCUGCAUGGCUGUCGUCAGCUCGUGUUGUGAAAGUGUUGGGUUAAGUCCCGCAACGAGCGCAACCCUUAUCCUUUGUUGCCAGCACGUAAUGGUGGGAACUCAAAGGAGACUGCCGGUGAUAAACCGGAGGAAGGUGGGGAUGACGUCAAGUCAUCAUGGCCCUUACGAGUAGGGCUACACACGUGCUACAAUGGCGCAUACAAAGAGAAGCGACCUCGCGAGAGCAAGCGGACCUCAUAAAGUGCGUCGUAGUCCGGAUUGGAGUCUGCAACUCGACUCCAUGAAGUCGGAAUCGCUAGUAAUCGUAAAUCAGAAUGUUACGGUGAAUACGUUCCCGGGCCUUGUACACACCGCCCGUCACACCAUGGGAGUGGGUUGCAAAAGAAGUAGAUAGCUUAACCUUCGGGAGGGCGUUUACCACUUUGUGAUUCAUGACUGGGGUGAAGUCGUAACAAGGUAAGCGUAGUGCU
This 527-nucleotide ribosomal RNA is filed under the name uncultured bacterium. RNAcentral describes it as "bacterial SSU rRNA". It matches the Rfam family "Bacterial small subunit ribosomal RNA", at positions 984 to 1509 of the family's 1533-position model. The record is from RNAcentral.